CGUAGGAAGGGAUUGCCAAUAAUUGAAUGUUCGCUUUCUAUUAGGUGUGUAUAUAUAGUCUCAAAAUUACAUGUAUUUGUAAUGGCGAGUAAUAUUUACUAUCCUGUAGGAAAACUCGGGCGACCGCUGUAAUAUUUCUCUUUAAAACAGAGGAAGAUUGCGGCAAUAACAGGUCUGUGAUGCCCUCAGAUGUCCCGGGCCGCACACGUGCUACAUUGAUUAGCGCAGUGCGCAUACUUUCAAUAUGAUACAUUAGAUUGGAUUGUUCUGUUGAGCUCCAUCUAAUACUAUCCGGCUUGAGAAGGCUGGGUAAUCAAUUGUAAGUGCUGGUUCCUCCUCCCGUUGAGCAUUUUAAUAAUGGCCUCUCUACAUCCCUAGCAAUAUGCCUAGUGCGAUUGUAGUUGAGCCUUGCCAUUUAUGCAAGUGUCAAUUCUCAGUGGGGACAGACAUUUGAUAAUUCUUUGUCUCGUUCUUAACUAGGAAUGCCUUGUACGGGUCUUGGUUCAACAGACCACCCGGAAUACGUCCCUGCCCUUUGAAAAAACCGCCCGUCGCUCUUACCGAUGAAUUUCCCUG
This 576-nucleotide ribosomal RNA is filed under the name Globigerinella siphonifera. RNAcentral's name for it is "18S ribosomal RNA". It matches the Rfam family "Eukaryotic small subunit ribosomal RNA", at positions 1337 to 1701 of the family's 1831-position model. The record is from RNAcentral. Lineage: Eukaryota; Foraminifera; Rotaliida; Globigerinidae.